GGGCCCGCACAAGCGGUGGAGCAUGUGGUUUAAUUCGAUGCAACGCGAAGAACCUUACCGGGGCUUGAACUGCAGUGGACAUCCCAUGAAAGUGGGCUUCCUUCGGGACCGCUGUAGAGGUGCUGCAUGGUUGUCGUCAGCUCGUGUCGUGAGAUGUUGGGUUAAGUCCCGCAACGAGCGCAACCCCUGUCCUUAGUUGCCAACAGCUCGGCUGGGAACUCUAAGGAGACUGCCGACCCUAAGUCGGAGGAAGGUGGGGACGACGUCAAAUCCUCAUGGCCCUUACGUCCCGGGCUACACACGUGCUACAAUGGCCGGUACAAAGGGUUGCAAGACCGCAAGGUGGAGCUAAUCCCAAAAAACCGGUCUCAGUUCAGAUCGAAGUCUGCAACUCGACUUCGUGAAGGCGGAAUCGCUAGUAAUCGCGGAUCAGAAUGCCGCGGUGAAUACGUUCCCGGGCCUU
This 463-nucleotide ribosomal RNA is filed under the name uncultured bacterium. Its description in RNAcentral is "bacterial SSU rRNA". It matches the Rfam family "Bacterial small subunit ribosomal RNA", at positions 917 to 1382 of the family's 1533-position model. The record is from RNAcentral.